GAUGAACGCUGGCGGCGUGCUUAACACAUGCAAGUCGGACGGAAAGCCCGCUGCACGCUGGGUUCCUCGAGUGGCGGACGGGUAAGUAACACGAAGGUGCCCUGCCCUGGGCUUCAGGAGAAGCCUGGGGAAGUGAGUACACUACCGGCUGGGACGCCAUAGUGGGAGGUGGGGCGGAGAGGUGUUCGGUGUGGGAUGAGCAGUCGGCGUCUCAGCAUCUUGGUGGGGUGAUGGUCUACCAACGAGGCGACGGGUAGACGGUGCGCGCGGGGGUUGAGCCGCAAUGCUGGGACUGAGAGACGGCGAAGACUACGACGGGAGGCAGCAGUGGGGAAUUUUCCGCAAUGGGAGAAAGGCUGAAGGAGCGAUGCGGCGGGGAGGUAGGAGGCCCACGGGUCGUGACCUUCUUUUCCCGGAGAAGAAGAAAUGACGGUAUCUGGAGAAUAAGCACCGGCUAACUCUGUG
RNAcentral lists this ribosomal RNA (465 nucleotides) under uncultured bacterium. Its description in RNAcentral is "partial 16S ribosomal RNA". It matches the Rfam family "Bacterial small subunit ribosomal RNA", at positions 28 to 507 of the family's 1533-position model. The record is from RNAcentral.